Molecule: ribosomal RNA, 497 nt
Filed under: uncultured bacterium
Lineage: Bacteria
Description: partial 16S ribosomal RNA
Rfam family: Bacterial small subunit ribosomal RNA
Source: RNAcentral
GGUGAACGCUGGCGGCGUGCCUAAUACAUGCAAGUCGAGCGAACAGACGAGGAGCUUGCUCCUCUGACGUUAGCGGCGGACGGGUGAGUAACACGUGGAUAACCUACCUAUAAGACUGGGAUAACUUCGGGAAACCGGAGCUAAUACCGGAUAAUAUAUUGAACCGCAUGGUUCAAUAGUGAAAGACGGUUUUGCUGUCACUUAUAGAUGGAUCCGCGCCGCAUUAGCUAGUUGGUAAGGUAACGGCUUACCAAGGCAACGAUGCGUAGCCGACCUGAGAGGGUGAUCGGCCACACUGGAACUGAGACACGGUCCAGACUCCUACGGGAGGCAGCAGUAGGGAAUCUUCCGCAAUGGGCGAAAGCCUGACGGAGCAACGCCGCGUGAGUGAUGAAGGUCUUCAGAUCGUAAAACUCUGUUAUUAGGGAAGAACAAAUGUGUAAGUAACUAUGCACGUCUUGACGGUACCUAAUCAGAAAGCCACGGCUAACUACGUG